Molecule: long non-coding RNA, 828 nt
Filed under: Homo sapiens (human)
Lineage: Eukaryota; Metazoa; Chordata; Mammalia; Primates; Hominidae
Description: HSALNT0368834
Source: RNAcentral
CACGCCUACACCUGAAGCAGAGGGACGGCCUGUCGGAGCUCAGUCAAGUAGGCGAGUGCUCUUUGUUCCCCCGUGGCCUCUGAAGUUACUCUAGAGCUAUGCAGCUCAAGGCCAGCAGAUGGCGCGUGGCGUCAGGCUGCGAGAUAGCGCCGAGACAGCAUGGACGCCGGGAGCCUGGGAAAGCCAACUGUACCACAGGAGUCUAAACUGUAGCUAGGAAUAGAAGUACGCUCAUUUUAGCUAUUAGAAGGUUUGCCUGAUACUCUGGCUCUUUAUUUCGAGGAUGUCUAGCUCACCUGUGAUAUAACUCAGACCCCAUUUCACUCAUUUCUUAAACUAGGAAUGGGGCAGAAUUUCCCAGCAUCUCUUCCAGCUCCCAGGGAGAAGGUCUGGGACCUAUGUUCUACCAACCAAAUACACUCUCAUGAAGCUCUCAUUUGGAAGUCAGCAACAUGCAGACACAGACUGGGUUCUGAGCAUCUAUGGUGCAGAUGAAGAUGAUGGCAGGAGCUGUGGAGGCAGUAGAAUCCUCAUCAAGCCACUUCUGUGCCUCUAGACCUGCAGUAGCAUGAAGAGGUCUGAGGAAGCUGUGCGUCCCUCAAGAAAGCAAUUCUUUAUUGCCCAUCAAAGAUGAAUCCAUAGGGGAUCAUUAACAAGGAGAUCAUCCCAGAGAGCAGCUUCUAGAAUCACCAACCAAACAGAAGAUUUGUCAGAAGAACAAAGACCUCAAAAUGAGAAGGAAUGUGUUCUGGACUUAAAACAUUGCUCAGGUAUCUUAGCAAGGACUGAGACCUUGGAGGUCUCCAAAUACCAGUAAGAAUCAUUGUG